CACGUAGGGUGCGAGCGUUGUCCGGAAUUAUUGGGCGUAAAGAGCGCGCAGGCGGCAUACCAAGUUGGACGUGAAAUUUUAGGGCUUAACCCUAAAGGGUCGUCCAAAACUGGUAAGCUAGAGUGCAGGAGAGGAAAGCGGAAUUCCCGGUGUAGUGGUGAAAUGCGUAGAUAUCGGGAGGAACACCAGAGGCGAAGGCGGCUUUCUGGCCUGUAACUGACGCUGAGGCGCGAAGGCUGGGGUAGCGAACAGG
This 253-nucleotide ribosomal RNA is filed under the name uncultured bacterium. Its description in RNAcentral is "partial 16S ribosomal RNA". It matches the Rfam family "Bacterial small subunit ribosomal RNA", at positions 524 to 776 of the family's 1533-position model. The record is from RNAcentral.